RNAcentral lists this unclassified non-coding RNA (379 nucleotides) under uncultured bacterium. Its description in RNAcentral is "contains 16S-23S intergenic spacer region". The record is from RNAcentral.
UCUCGGCUUAUCACCGGCAGUCCCCCUAGAGUGCCCAACUGAAUGAUGGCAACUAAGGGCGAGGGUUGCGCUCGUUGCGGGACUUAACCCAACAUCUCACGACACGAGCUGACGACAGCCAUGCAGCACCUGAACCGGCAGUCCCCGAAGGGAAAAUCCUAUCUCUAGGACAGUCCGCCGUUGUCUAGCCCAGGUAAGGUUCUUCGCGUUGCGUCGAAUUGAACCACAUACUCCACCGCUUGUGCAGGCCCCCGUCGAUUUCUUUGAGUUUUAAUCUUGCGACCGUACUUCCCAGGCGGCACGUUUAUCGCGUUAGCUUCGGCACAGCAGGGGUCGAUACCCGCUACACCAAGUGCCCAUCGUUUACAGCUAGGACUAC